This 583-nucleotide ribosomal RNA is filed under the name Aureobasidium pullulans. RNAcentral describes it as "eukaryotic LSU rRNA". The stretch from base 212 to 365 matches the Rfam family "5.8S ribosomal RNA". Lineage: Eukaryota; Fungi; Ascomycota; Dothideomycetes; Dothideales; Saccotheciaceae. The record is from RNAcentral.
UUCCGUAGGUGAACCUGCGGAAGGAUCAUUAAAGAGUAAGGGUGCUCAGCGCCCGACCUCCAACCCUUUGUUGUUAAAACUACCUUGUUGCUUUGGCGGGACCGCUCGGUCUCGAGCCGCUGGGGAUUCGUCCCAGGCGAGCGCCCGCCAGAGUUAAACCGAACUCUUGUUAUUUAACCGGUCGUCUGAGUUAAAAUUUUGAAUAAAUCAAAACUUUCAACAACGGAUCUCUUGGUUCUCGCAUCGAUGAAGAACGCAGCGAAAUGCGAUAAGUAAUGUGAAUUGCAGAAUUCAGUGAAUCAUCGAAUCUUUGAACGCACAUUGCGCCCCUUGGUAUUCCGAGGGGCAUGCCUGUUCGAGCGUCAUUACACCACUCAAGCUAUGCUUGGUAUUGGGUGCCGUCCUUAGUUGGGCGCGCCUUAAAGACCUCGGCGAGGCCUCACCGGCUUUAGGCGUAGUAGAAUUUAUUCGAACGUCUGUCAAAGGAGAGGACUUCUGCCGACUGAAACCUUUAUUUUUCUAGGUUGACCUCGGAUCAGGUAGGGAUACCCGCUGAACUUAAGCAUAUCAAUAAGCGGAGGAA